This 208-nucleotide long non-coding RNA is filed under the name Elaeis guineensis (African oil palm). Its description in RNAcentral is "long non-coding RNA (EGUI_LNC002472)". The record is from RNAcentral. Lineage: Eukaryota; Viridiplantae; Streptophyta; Magnoliopsida; Arecales; Arecaceae.
AUGUGGCCUUUCUCAAUUUAGUGACAACUUCCCUUGUUCUCUGGGUUGGGAUAUUUUUGUCCUUUCGAGGAUGAGGUCUCCCACUUGAAAAAUCUUGCUUUUGAUAAUUGAGUUGUAGUAUUGGGUCACCUUUUGUUAAUAGACCACCAUCUGAAGUUGUGCACAUUCUCAGGUUUCCUCUAGCAAAUCCAGGUUCAUGCAAAGGCCC